This 353-nucleotide ribosomal RNA is filed under the name uncultured eukaryote. Its description in RNAcentral is "SSU rRNA". It matches the Rfam family "Eukaryotic small subunit ribosomal RNA", at positions 594 to 945 of the family's 1831-position model. The record is from RNAcentral.
AUAGCGUAUAUUAAAGUUGUUGCAGUUAAAAAGCUCGUAGUUGAAUUUCGGGAUUGGCGCAUCGGUCGUGCCUUACGGGGUAUGAACUGGUGCAGUCAAUUUCUCACCUUCUGGAGAACCGCGAUGUCCUUAAUUGGGUGCCGCGGGGAACCAGGACCUUUACUUUGAAAAAAUUAGAGUGUUUAAAGCAGGCAUUUUUGCUUGAAUACAUUAGCAUGGCAUAAUAAAAUAGGACGUGCGGUUCUAUUUUGUUGGUUUCUAGAGUCGCCGUAAUGAUUAAUAGGGAUAGUUGGGGGCAUUAGUAUUCCGUUGCUAGAGGUGAAAUUCUUGGAUUUACGGAAGACUAACUUCUG